Molecule: small RNA, 87 nt
Organism: Coprococcus sp. CAG:782
Lineage: Bacteria; Bacillati; Bacillota; Clostridia; Lachnospirales; Lachnospiraceae
Rfam family: GA-cis RNA
Source: Rfam
CAGAGAUUGUGCCCAUGCGUUGAAAACGCAUAUUUGAAUGGCACAAUCGACUUGCCGCCGAGUGUAAACGAGGGGGCGUUACCCAUA